GCAGAGUAGACAAAGAGGCGUUAAGUGCUCGAUGAACGGGGAGUUGUCAUCGGGACGAAAAGUUGUUCUUGCGGUUUUCUUUGUCGCAUCCCGCUGC
This 97-nucleotide non-coding RNA is filed under the name Sharpea azabuensis. Its description in RNAcentral is "THF riboswitch". It matches the Rfam family "THF (Tetrahydrofolate) riboswitch aptamer". Rfam says of the family: THF riboswitch presents a pseudoknot that joins P1-P2 and the loop of P3 and two THF binding. Lineage: Bacteria; Bacillati; Bacillota; Erysipelotrichia; Erysipelotrichales; Coprobacillaceae. The record is from RNAcentral.